CUAAAAAAUAUUGCGAACGAAGAGAAAAACAAACUGGGUCCUACAUUAGAAUUUUGCAAACACGAUAAGAAAAUAAGAAAAUAAAAAAAUUGGGUCCUACACGUAACCAUGGAUUUUGGGGGGACUCACUGAAAAUUCAACGAGAAACGUGGCUUACAUCCACAUUUCAAUGUUAAGCUCUCCCACUACCUUGAUUCGGUUAAGUUUCUCAUCUCUCUCUCGGAACACUCAGGGACACAUCUUUUGUUUCUUUUUGGUUAAAGAGAGACAUAUUAUGCUUAGAACCUUGUAUGAGGAUCAGUUGUGAAGUCAUUUCCCCCCCUUCUUUGGUGUGUUCUUUACGUGUUUCUUUGGCUGCUUGUUCAUUUUGAAGAUAAGCCUAAAAAUGGAAGUUCUUGGCUUUCUUGGAAAUCAGAGUGUGAUUUAUGUGGGUUUUGGUCCUUGGAUCCAUUUCUUCUGAUUCCUUUGGGAUAUGACCUUGGCAAUAAGAGGCUUAUAUGAUUCUGGAGCUUUCAAGUUUAUAUCGACUAGUUGGAGACAGAUGAUUGAAAACAAAGUUGUCUGCCAUUGGUUUGCUUUGUUAGAUUAGAGGCUCAAGAUGGAUGAUACAUCUGCCAAUGCUCAAAAGGAUGGCCAGGGUAAAGAGGAUUCAUUGCAUAGCUUGAACCAUGGAAGAGAAUUAUCUGGUGACAAUGAGCCGGACUGUUCCCAAUCAAAAUCAGAGAGGGUGAUGAGAAGGGUAUAUUCACAUCACUAUCUGCAUUUAAAAGUUAAGCAAUUGCAACGCAGUAAAAGUUGCAUCAAAGAUUCAUUCCUUCGAGGCAUUCAUGUCUUAGACAAUUGGAUUCCAAAGCAUAUAACAACAAUCGAUGAGAAAUAUCUUCGUCGUUGCCUAGAAUUUAUACAUGCCAGCACUUCUCAGUCGGCUCCAUGCAAUGCCUCUAUGUACUUGGAUUUGGGAAACAUGGGUUUUUUCUCUGAUGGCCUGAAUAUAGCUAAAACUGGGAGUGAAAAUACAUAUGGUUUGGCCAGGUUUGAUUUUGACUGUCCAUUAGCUGGGACUGGGAAUGUGGUCAUUAGCCCAGCGGAACAGUGGAUUGUUGGUUCGAUCAUGGGUAGCAAGAGCAUGGUGAAUAUACUAAAGAGUCCUUUAUUGCUCCGGUAUGGUUCAUAUGGCGAUGAUGCCAAUUUUGAGAAAGUGAGUUCCAGCGAGGUUAAAGGACCAAUAUGUUUUAAUCUGAUGAACUCUCCUAGUGGAUUACGUAGUUAUUCACCACACAAGCUUGAUGAAGAAGCACAAAUUCCUGGAAGCCAUAAAUUUGGAUCAGAGACUUUGCACAAAAGGCUUAUUUCUAUGUCGAGCUCAAACUCUACGUGUUCUGAUCAGUCUUCUUCUUCUCCGUCAGCUACUGUUACUCAGGGGACCCUCCAAUGCACAUGGAAGGGUGGGAACCCACAUUUUGUCUUCUCCAUAGACAAUCAGAAAUUGGUCUAUGUGGCUAACUUGUAUAAUGUUGAUUCAGCAGAUGAUAAGUCUCUGGAGUAUGUGUAUUUAUUCCAUUCAAGAAAAGGUUCCCAAAAGGAACAUAUGAAUCAUGAUAAAGAGUCGCACCUUGUAGGUAAGAUGAAGGUGUCAACUUCUUUUGCUCUUUGCCCAAAAAAUUCAAGAAUCACGCAGAGAGAAUUUGUUUUAUUCGGUUAUGAAAAUUACGUGGGAGAGUGGCAAAGUUCAAGCCAUGACCUCAGGAAGAACAAGGGAUUGUCAAGCAGGGUGGCAGAAGUGUUCAGGACCAGUAACUCAUCCAAGAGGAGAACUAACUCCAGAUUUGGUGGAUCCGGUGCCAUACUGGAGAAUUCUUCUUGGGAGCCAUUUCAAGAGAGAGAUAACAACAUCGAUGCACUUGGUGGCACCAAUCUUUUAGAAAAUCAUCUUCCACCAAAUCUUGAAUUGGCUGCCAUUUUGGUGAAAGAUCAUCUUCCUGAAAAGCGUCAGGAGAAGGCUGGAGGUUGGGGCUUGAAUUUUCUCAAGAAAAUGGCUGUAACACAAGCAGAAGAUGUGAAAUCCUCAGUGCUCCCUGCCUGUUGUGCCCAAGAUAGUGGUGAUUGCUCAACAAGCAUUGAUAUUCUCAUUCCAGCUGGUCUUCACGGAGGUCCAAGGACCAGAAAUGGUGGUCCUUCUAGUCUUAUUGAUAGGUGGAUAUCAGGUGGACACUGUGACUGUGGUGGCUGGGACCUAGGCUGUCCAUUAACAGUACUUAAAAGCAGAUCAGCCCACAAAGAGUUUUCAUCUCAAGCAGAUGCGCAAGGGGAGUGCAAGUUAGUUGAUUUGUUCAUAGAGGGUUCAGAGAAUGGUGCCCCCCCCAUGAGUAUGGUGAAUGUCCAUGAUGGCUUGUAUUUUGUGCACUUUCAGUCAACAUUGUCAGCUCUGCAGUCCUUCUCAAUUGCAGUAGCAUUUAUCCAUACCCAAAAAGUCCCAGUCUCCAACCAAAAUAUGUACAGGAGUUGACAUAAGGAAGAUUUGUGGUUCAGCUUGAUCUAGUUGUAACUCCCCUACUGUAUCACAGCACUUUACUUUUUGCAUUUGUAGGUUGGCUUGACCUGGCCUGGCCAGUUAUGCUCCAAAGGUUCAACAAGUCAAGCAUCCUUUGCCUUAGAUGUUUCCAGAGCAAACUUAAGGAGUUAAUGGCUGGACUGAUCUCAAAAGCUCGCAUGAAGUGGUACAUGGUUAAAGCCUAAAGAUUUUAUUUCACCCAUUUAAUUAUCUUCUAUGAAUAUAUCUAUGCAUUGUAUUUUUUUUCUUUCUCUGAACAAUCAUGGCAGUGUAUCUCCUCUGUACUUUAUUUUUAUUGUUUCUUUGUGGAUGCAAGUGAGACUUGUUUCUCUGCUUCUAUAAUCUGGCUGGUGAAUUUUUGAUACAUUCCGUGGUCCUUCAGUGCGUCAAGUUGAAUUUAUCGGUUUGUCCACUAAAGAACUGGGUAAGUUCUUACUUUUCUUGACCGUAAUAUAAGUGGUUGAAAUAUAAUAAAUCCCGCUACGUAUUAAUCGAGGAAGAGAUGUGUCUAGCAACUAUUUUCCCUGGCACACCCCUUAUAAUGGACGACAGUAAUAUGCUGUCUCUUUUAGCAUUGCAGGCAACUCUCCUGACUUUUUCAUCUUCCCUUGGUAGCUUCUGUAAACGUAGGCAGCACUCAGAACCAGGAAAGAAAGUAGCCGGACAGGAGUAGGUAGGAGAUUUAAUUUGGAGCAACUUAUUCAUUAAUUAAUCACUUUAUCUGUUAUACCUGGACAUGAUUUGACUCCUUAAAUUUCUUUUUUUUCAUUUGUUACAUUCACUAUAUAUUAUAAAUGGUGCGCAGAAUAUUAUGAUAUAUGAACGCUUGAGUUCAAGUGAAUACUAACUGGAUUGGAACUGUUUGAGGCAUUUGUUAUGGUUGCUGAAUCCUUUCUUCCUUACUGGUCACCUUUAGUUACCUGUCAUGUAUAUUGCGUAGUUGGGUAGCAAUGCUUUGUAUUCAACCAAACACGAGGAUGUAAUAGGUAGCAUGAAUUUUCUGCCAAACGUAUUAUAGAGAACUUUCUCUAGGUUGUCUUUAACUCUUGUCCUUUGGGACAGUUUUUAUUCUGGUGCAGGGGAGAUUACAUUGCAAAUCUUCAUGAUCAAGGCAGGCACCUUCUUGUCAGAUAUUGAAACAUGGAAAACAAGCUUAUCGUGAUCAGGCAUCUUCCUCCCAAUAACUACGCUUUAGAUUCGAUCAUUCCGCUUGCAUAGCAAGUCUUUGCCCCUGCAUCUGACAGGCAAAAAGUACCUGUCUUUCCAGGAUAAUGACUCGACUGUCUCAAGUUAACCAUGUUAUCCAGACCAUAAAAGAGGUUCCGUUCAUCGGUUGAUUGAAUGCUGGGCCUGCCUGUCAAGGCAUGCUCUGUAAAGAUUAUUUAAUUUGACGAGGAGAAUGCUUGGAUCUCGAAAUAGCACAGAAGGGUUGCAUUACAGUGAGAAGGGACAGUCUCGUAGCAUGUAAACUUGUCAAUGUCUCCUCCCUGCUUUCUUUCUCACAAAAUUUCAUUUUUCACGUCAACUAGACCAUAACUUCUAUACCA
This is an RNA transcript of Populus nigra (black poplar), 4098 nucleotides long. RefSeq lists it as uncharacterized. The record is from RefSeq and is a predicted model, not a curated record. NCBI's taxonomy places the organism in Eukaryota, Viridiplantae, Streptophyta, Magnoliopsida, Malpighiales, Salicaceae. The transcript is spliced from 6 exons.